AAAAUCAACUAUAUUUUAUAGAGUCAACUGUAAAAUAGAGGAAAUAUAGAGUUGCGCAUUGGAGAUGGUCUUAAU
Molecule: small RNA, 75 nt
Filed under: Arabidopsis thaliana (thale cress)
Lineage: Eukaryota; Viridiplantae; Streptophyta; Magnoliopsida; Brassicales; Brassicaceae
Description: ATSL114720
Source: RNAcentral